Molecule: long non-coding RNA, 640 nt
Organism: Puntigrus tetrazona (Sumatra barb)
Lineage: Eukaryota; Metazoa; Chordata; Actinopteri; Cypriniformes; Cyprinidae
Exons: 4
Source: RefSeq, a predicted model, not a curated record
GUCAAUGUCGAUUCAAUGUCUUUAGUCAAUGUCCAGAAGUGGUUUUUGUUCUGCAUACCUGCCUUUGUAUAUUUAUUUUGCUCCUUUUGGAUUAAAUCUAUUUGAGUUUAUUUACGUCUUGAGUGCUCCCUUCCUGAGAAACCACGAAACGUGACAGCCAUAUACACAAAAAAUAGCCUAAUAAUAAAGAUGCCUUUUUGCCUCUUGCUAGAACACGACUGUCUCUGCAGUCGUUCAACAUGAGGAAGCUCCGAGACACAAACACUCCCAGGAUGAAGAGACUUCCAGCCUUUGACCAUCACAACACCACUGCAGGAGGAUGCUCUGGUGAUGAUGAUGAUGAAGCAAGUCGUGGUGAUGAGCAUUUUGCCCUGCAGUCUCCUGGCAGACCCAGCUCCAUUGAUACAGCCACUACAGAGCCCUGGGUUCGAGCCGAGUCUUCAGACACACUCAGGAGACUAAUGUCCGGCUCUGAGCUUUGAGACGGGUCAUUGCAUACAUAACCGCACUGAGUGUAAAAGCUUGUUAUUGCAGUGCAGUACAUAUUGGGCAUUUUAUGUAGUCUUCAGAACUCUUAAAUAAAAGGCUGAUCAGCAGAAUCUCUAUGAGAUUGACUGUAUCACAAAAUCUGUUCUGUAAA